Molecule: ribosomal RNA, 497 nt
Filed under: uncultured bacterium
Lineage: Bacteria
Description: partial 16S ribosomal RNA
Rfam family: Bacterial small subunit ribosomal RNA
Source: RNAcentral
GAUGAACGCUGGCGGCGUGCCUAAUACAUGCAAGUCGAGCGAACAGACGAGGAGCUUGCUCCUCUGACGUUAGCGGCGGACGGGUGAGUAACACGUGGAUAACCUACCUAUAAGACUGGGAUAACUUCGGGAAACCGGAGCUAAUACCGGAUAAUAUAUUGAACCGCAUGGUUCAAUAGUAAAAGACGGUUUUGCUGUCACUUAUAGAUGGAUCCGCGCCGCAUUAGCUAGUUGGUAAGGUAACGGCUUACCAAGGCAACGAUGCGUAGCCGACCUGAGAGGGUGAUCGGCCACACUGGAACUGAGACACGGUCCAGACUCCUACGAGAGGCAGCAGUAGGGAAUCUUCCGCAAUGGGCGAAAGCCUGACGGAGCAACGCCGCGUGAGUGAUGAAGGUCUUCGGAUCGUAAAACUCUGUUAUUAGGGAAGAACAAAUGUGUAAGUAAUUAUGCACGUCUUGACGGUACCUAAUCAGAAAGCCACGGCUAACUACGUG